GGCUCAUAUCGUCAGUUGGACUGAAGGACAUUCUCGCAUCACAUUUCACAGCUGCUACAGGACUGAGAUAUUAAGUUGAAUUUCAAAGAAUUUCGAAGUGAUACUUGGUGUGAAAAACAGGAAAUAUUUCUUUUUCCGUGGCCGUAAUUUUACAGGACAGAAGCUGCAGCCUCAGCAGGCACCUAACUGAUCAAGAUGUUUAAAAAACUCCUGCAAUAUGUUCGUACUGAAAAGAUCGGUACCCCCGCGACAGUCAUCGGGAUGGUCAGCAUGACUUUCUUUCUGCGGAGCAUGAUGUGCGCUUGCAAAGGGCGCACUUUUGAAUGCAAUGAAAUCAUCGUCGUGCCUGUUUUUUUAAUAUUUUUCCUGAUGCUCCUGAUGGACCAGACAUUUCGGAGCACCGCGAAACAUGCAUCCACGUUUUUAUGCCUUGUAGUCAAGCGCGUAAUCAGAGCGUUUCUAAUCAGUCUGCUGUGGAUUGUAGCAUUGUUGAUUUUCACGGACUGGUAUGGUUGCUGUAACACUGAUGAAAACACGAGCAAGCUGUUCUGCAAAACUUGGCCCAAGCCAACUGAAGAAGAAGAAGCUCAAAAAACUGAAGUGCAAAUCAAGUCCAAGCUUACUGCUUACUCUCUGCUUCUCAGCAUGACUCUUGUAGCUUUCUUCAUGACUUGGAGUGGGUGGAGAAAAUGGUUUGUAAAAAAAUUCAGUUGUUGCAACAAGAAAACUUUUUACUACAAACUGAUUUUGGAAGAAGAGAAAAAAGUUCUGGAGGAGCUUUUGAGGAAAGAAGCAAAUGAGACUUUGACUAAAGAAAUCAUGAGCAACAUAAAAAGGAAAGACUGGGACGGCUGUUUUAAUGUUGCUCAACAAAUGAUCAAUAAAGCAAAACAUCAAAAACCAGAAGCAACCAACCAGCAGAUCAACUGGAUCAGUGAGGGGAGCUCCAACAGAGGGGGACAGCAUCAUCAAGCAGCAGCACAUCAGCAGGCACAAAACUAUGAACUUGAUGCAGUGGCACAAGAAAACAAAGACACCAUGCCAUUAUUUGACGAAUCCGCCUAAAAGAACAUCAAGUGAUGCAGCUCCAGAAACAACGCAAGUGACCACAGACAAGUUAUACACCUUGUCAGGCGACGUGAGGUCUAGAGAGAGAGAGGUCGGAUAAAAGUUCUUAAUAUCCAGCCUUAUGUGAUUAUAAAUGGAUUGGGAUGAAUCUGUAAGAGUUUUUGGAAAGGGAAGCAGGAGACUGUUGUUGUAGAGUGGAUUGAGGAGACUGAAGCUGUUCAGCUGCAAACAGAGAGUUCAGUUCCUUGCAAAACAAACACGUUUAAAACAAGACAAGAAAAAAGAAGAAAAAAGUUUAAAUGUUCUGUUCUAAAUCUGUUGUGUUCUACAAAUUAAUUUGAGAAUUGUAGGAAAAGACACGGUGAAUUCUUUUUUUUUGUUUUUGUUUUUUGUUUUUAAAUCCUAUGCCAACUCUGUUUAGCUUUGUAAAUAUUGGCUAUAUUGUAUGGAGACGUCUUAUUUUACUCUUACUUUAUUUUGCAAAUUUAUUUGAAUUAGGCUAUCCAAUUAGGAUAAAUUUUGUUGUUGGCUGUAAAGAUCUGGAUGAAUAUUUUACUUUAUUCUUUAUUUUAAUUUUUUUUAAUUCUGUUUUUCAGUUUUAUUUUUCAAGACUUGGUGAAUUGACUUUUAUUUUUAUAACUUGGCCUACACUUUUUAGUAUGUUGGCAACAAUCAGAAGCGUUAUUGUUAGGAUCGAAUAUAUUUGAUAUAGGCCAUCUAAUUUAGGUAAAUAAAAUUUUUUUAGUUGUUAUAAUCUAAUGAGGAAUAUUUUAUUUAAUUUUUUGUUGUGUUGUUUUUCAGUUUCCCCCCUGAGGGAUUGCCCCCUUGACAUGGUCAGGGGAGUUUGCGUGCCUCAGUGACCCUAAGAGCUAGACCAGCAGAAGCUUAGUCUUCAGGUGGGACACCAACAUUGGUCAGGUCUUAGGGUAGAGGCCUGACAAAGUGCAAUCCAAUUACAUGACAAAAACAGUUAUCCAGAGCACCCCACCACCACCCCGCCCCUUUCCUGGCUCCAUUGCCCCCACUUGCAUUCUUUACAUUUCUAACUGCCCCCUCAUAUAUGCCUGUCUAGAACCGGCCCAGGUUGCAAAUGUUCAUCCAGCUAUUUGUUUUUAGGAGCACUUUUCUGUCAAGUGGUGGGUUACCACCAUCGCAGCUUUUGAGAUGUAUCUACAAAUUCAAAUUGAUCUUAUAUUUUUCAUUAAAUAAUAAAAUAUUUCAGUUUAAA
This is a long non-coding RNA of Pelmatolapia mariae (spotted tilapia), 2296 nucleotides long. RefSeq lists it as uncharacterized. The record is from RefSeq and is a predicted model, not a curated record. The transcript is spliced from 4 exons. Lineage: Eukaryota; Metazoa; Chordata; Actinopteri; Cichliformes; Cichlidae.